GGCGGGGCCGGCCGGACACGGGAGCUUCGCGCCGAUCCCAGGGCAGGCCUUGUUGAGCAAGUCAUGGAGCUGCAAUACUCACUACUGAGAUGAGAUAGAUCCUGUGUGCAUUCUGAUUAGGGAAGAGGUGGAAAAAAGCAGAGCCUGGUGCAGCGACCAGGAAAUGUGGAUUUACAGAAGCCUGACCCUGAAUGCCAGCCUACAGAGAUUCCCUGAGACCACGGUGUCAAGAUGGCCUUCAGCCGGACAUGCAUGCCAGCACAGCUGACAUCUUUGCUUUCACCUUGAGAAAGGAGUUCUCAAACUGGAGUGACAGGGCUGGAGGCUGUCAGGGAGGCCUUGCCACUCUCAGGGAACCCUUUAUGUGUAGCCAGCCAUCAGGGAGGGAGCAGACCACUGCUCUGCAAGCAGGGAUAACCUGGCCCAGCUCCUGUCCUGCCAGCAGAGCACAUUUCACUGCACAAGCAGCAGGGGUUACAGAGGCUAGCAACCUUUCUCAACUGACUCAGCAGGAGAGACUGCAUUUUCAGAAACCCCCAAGGAGGCAGCAUAUUCCUAGAGUGUGUGUGCCAUUUGCUGUAAAUCAUUAAUUCAAAGACUGGGCUGGCUUUAAUAGAAACUGAAGAGACAGUGGUUUGCCUUUAUACCACUCACCCCAAAGUGAGGAGUGCACAAGCCUCUCAUUUUACGUCCAAAGAAGAUAGGAAUAGCCAUGGCCUAUGGGAACCAGACCAUAUCCAGGGACAAGGAAGUUAGGCACAUGGAAAUGAUCCUGUGAGCCCCAGCCUAGAGAUGUCCUUUCACCACCUUUCCAGCAAGACCUCCAGCUAGCUGGUGAAAGGCCACAGCAGGUGACACGCAGACACAGAAGACCAGACCCAGACAGAUCAGCUGGGAAAGGCCAUAGGGAGUAACCCUGGUGCCUACUGGAAUGGGUGUAACCACAGCCAGCCCUGACUAGCACCAGGACAAGGACAGGGCUGGCCUAAAUGGUAUUACCACCUUUAGUCUCAGGCAGAUUGCAGGUGUCUGCAGUUUAUAAAGCCCAGACAAAAUUAGAGGCUAGAGAACCCCUUUGAGGUCGCAGGGAAGCAAGUACAAAAGGUAACGCAAGGACAGCUCCAGCAGUCAACUUAAAUGCUUUUAUUGACAAUGUCUCUGAACAAUAAUAAGCAAACAAUGCUUAAGUUUCAUCCAAAUUCACUUUCCACAUGUCAAAAAAGACCUCAAGGUAGAAAAAAAUAAAAUAAAAAUAUAAAUAUCUGAGAAUCCGUCU
Long non-coding RNA from Serinus canaria (Common canary), 1276 nucleotides. RefSeq lists it as uncharacterized. The record is from RefSeq and is a predicted model, not a curated record. NCBI's taxonomy places the organism in Eukaryota, Metazoa, Chordata, Aves, Passeriformes, Fringillidae. The transcript has 2 exons.